RNAcentral lists this transfer RNA (70 nucleotides) under Schistosoma mansoni. Lineage: Eukaryota; Metazoa; Platyhelminthes; Trematoda; Strigeidida; Schistosomatidae. The record is from RNAcentral.
AUCUCUGUGGUCUAGUGGUUAGGUCAUUGCGUUGUGCCUCACUAACCCAUGUUCGAAUCCUGGCAACGAC